This 497-nucleotide ribosomal RNA is filed under the name uncultured bacterium. Its description in RNAcentral is "partial 16S ribosomal RNA". It matches the Rfam family "Bacterial small subunit ribosomal RNA", at positions 28 to 507 of the family's 1533-position model. The record is from RNAcentral.
GAUGAACGCUGGCGGCGUGCCUAAUGCAUGCAAGUCGAGCGAACGGACGAGAAGCUUGCUUUUCUGAUGUUAGCGGCGGACGGGUGAGUAACACGUGGAUAACCUACCUAUAAGACUGGGAUAACUUCGGGAAACCGGAGCUAAUACCGGAUAAUAUUUUGAACCGCAUGGUUCAAAAGUGAAAGACGGUCUUGCUGUCACUUAUAGAUGGAUCCGCGCUGCAUUAGCUAGUUGGUAAGGUAACGGCUUACCAAGGCAACGAUGCAUAGCCGACCUGAGAGGGUGAUCGGCCACACUGGAACUGAGACACGGUCCAGACUCCUACGGGAGGCAGCAGUAGGGAAUCUUCCGCAAUGGGCGAAAGCCUGACGGAGCAACGCCGCGUGAGUGAUAAAGGUCUUCGGAUCGUAAAACUCUGUUAUUAGGGAAGAACAUAUGUGUAAGUAACUGUGCACAUCUUGACGGUACCUAAUCAGAAAGCCACGGCUAACUACGUG